UAGGGAAUCUUCCGCAAUGGGCGAAAGCCUAAUGGAGCAACGCCGCGUGUGUGAUGAAGGGUUUCGGCUCGUAAACACUGUUGUAAGAGAAGAAUGACAUUGAGAGUAACUGUUCAAUGUGUGACGGUAUCUUACCAGAAAGGAACGGCUAAAUACGUGCCAG
This 163-nucleotide ribosomal RNA is filed under the name uncultured bacterium. Its description in RNAcentral is "partial 16S rRNA". It matches the Rfam family "Bacterial small subunit ribosomal RNA", at positions 355 to 511 of the family's 1533-position model. The record is from RNAcentral.